Molecule: ribosomal RNA, 479 nt
Filed under: uncultured bacterium
Lineage: Bacteria
Description: partial 16S ribosomal RNA
Rfam family: Bacterial small subunit ribosomal RNA
Source: RNAcentral
GAUGAACGCUGGCGGCGUGCUUAACACAUGCAAGUCGAACGAAGCACUUUAACCUGAUUCUUCGGAUGAAGGUUUUUGUGCCUGAGUGGCGGACGGGUGAGUAACGCGUGGGUAACCUGCCUCAUACAGGGGGAUAACAGUUAGAAAUGACUGCUAAUACCGCAUAAGACCACAGAGCCGCAUGGCUCGGUGGGAAAAACUCCGGUGGUAUGAGAUGGACCCGCGUCUGAUUAGGUAGUUGGUGGGGUAACGGCCUACCAAGCCAACGAUCAGUAGCCGACCUGAGAGGGUGACCGGCCACAUUGGGACUGAGACACGGCACAAACUCCUACGGGAGGCAGCAGUGGGGAAUAUUGCACAAUGGGGGAAACCCUGAUGCAGCGACGCCGCGUGAGCGAAGAAGUAUUUCGGUAUGUAAAGCUCUAUCAGCAGGGAAGAAAAUGACGGUACCUGACUAAGAAGCACCGGCUAAAUACGUG